CUCCUGGAAACGGGUGGUAAUCCCUUAUGCUCCAUCAUGCUGCAUGGUGUGGUGGGAAAGCUUCCGUGGUAUGGGAUGGGGUCGCGUCCUAUCAGCUUGUUGGUGGGGUAAUGGCCUACCAAGGCUUCGACGGGUAGCCGGCCUGAGAGGGCGACCGGCCACAUUGGGACUGAGAUACGGCCCAGACUCCUACGGGAGGCAGCAGUGGGGAAUAUUGCGCAAUGGGGGGAACCCUGACGCAGCGACGCCGCGUGCGGGAUGGAGGCCUUCGGGUUGUGAACCGCUUUUGGUAAGGAGCAAGCGAGAGUGAGUGUACUUAUCGAAUAAGGACCGGCUAACUACGUGCCAGCAGCCGCGGUAAUACGUAGGGUCCAAGCGCUGUCCGGAAUUAUUGGGCGUAAAGGGCUCGUAGGCGGCCUGUCGCGUCUGGUGUGAAAGCCCGUGGCUUAACUGCGGGUCUGCGCUGGAUACGGGCGGGCUAGAGUGCGGUAGGGGAGAAUGGAAUUCCCGGUGUAACGGCGGAAUGUGUAGAUAUCGGGAAGAACACCAAGGGCGA
This 556-nucleotide ribosomal RNA is filed under the name uncultured bacterium. RNAcentral describes it as "bacterial SSU rRNA". It matches the Rfam family "Bacterial small subunit ribosomal RNA", at positions 147 to 718 of the family's 1533-position model. The record is from RNAcentral.